RNAcentral lists this ribosomal RNA (500 nucleotides) under uncultured bacterium. RNAcentral's name for it is "partial 16S ribosomal RNA". It matches the Rfam family "Bacterial small subunit ribosomal RNA", at positions 30 to 523 of the family's 1533-position model. The record is from RNAcentral.
AUUGAACGCUGGCGGCAUGCCUUACACAUGCAAGUCGAACGGCAGCACGGGAGCAAUCCUGGUGGCGAGUGGCGAACGGGUGAGUAAAGUAUCGGAACGUGCCCAGGCGUGGGGGAUAACGUAGCGAAAGUUACGCUAAUACCGCAUACGAUCUAUGGAUGAAAGCGGGGGAUCGCAAGACCUCGCGCGAUUGGAGCGGCCGUUAUCAGAUUAGGUAGUUGGUGGGGUAAAGGCCCACCAAGCCGACGAUCUGUAGCUGGUCUGAGAGGACGACCAGCCACACUGGAGCUGAGACACGGCCCAGAAUCCGACGGGAGGCAGCAGUGGGGAAUGUUGGUCAAUGUGCGAAAGCCUGAUUCAGCCAUGCCGCGUGCAGGAUGAAGGCCUUCGGGUUGUAAACUGCUUUUGUACGGAACGAAAAGGACUGCCCUAAUACGGUGGUCCCAUGACGGUACCGUAAGAAUAAGCACCGGCUAACUACGUGCCAGCAGCCGCAGUAA